RNAcentral lists this long non-coding RNA (1412 nucleotides) under Ananas comosus (pineapple). Its description in RNAcentral is "long non-coding RNA (ACOM_LNC000431)". The record is from RNAcentral. Lineage: Eukaryota; Viridiplantae; Streptophyta; Magnoliopsida; Poales; Bromeliaceae.
CAUUUUUUAUUAUAAUUUUCCUUAUUUACGAAAAUAGCUAAAUUUUUAUUUCAACGUAAAAUCGAUUUAAUUCUUACUUGUAUCCGAACCAAACGAAAUCUUAGAAUAACUAAAAAUAAACUUAAUUUUUAUAUUUGAAUGCUAAAUUUAUUAAGUAAUAAUUAAUAAUGAGUAUUGUUACUUAAUAAAUUAAUUAACCACAGAUAGCUUAAUAAAUCAAUUUAAUUAUUUAUUUAGUAGUUGGGUUAGCUAUUAUACUAUUGAUAGUACCAAGAGCUUGGUGUUAUCAAAUUUUUUGUCAUUAGAUCUAUCUCUUUAACUAUUUUCACCCUUUAAAUCAUACUUAUAUAAUCAACCAUCUACUCAAUUCUAGAAAACCCACUAGCACGAUUUGGACGGCAUAUCCUAUUUUUUGAAAGAAAGGUAGUACGCUACCCGCUUCGUUUAUUUCAUUUAGAAAUAAACUUAGCUAGAAAUGUGAAUCAACUAGGAUUCGAACUUAGGACCUCAGAUACCAACCACCAAGCUCUUUGCCACUUGCUCUAGGGAUGGUUGAUUUUGGACAGCAUAUCCUAGAAUGGACUAUAUGAUGAAAGUGCACACUGUAGAUAGAUUGCAGUUAGAUUACUUUUUAUCUUAUAUUUAUUUAUCUGUACAUUAUUGUUACACUAGUAAAGGACCCGCGCGUUGCGGCGGAAUAAUUCCGUAAAAAUAAAUAUAUAGAUAAAAUAAAAAUAGCAAAAAGAAGAGCCAAAAAAUUAUAUAAAAAAAAAGCAACUGAAAAAUAAACAACUAUUGCUGCAAUAAAAAUAUAAAAAUAAAUUAUAAGAAUGAUUAAAAAAAAUAAAGAAAAAAAUCAUACAAAUAAGUAAUUAUAUUUAUAGCAGCAAUAAAUGUUGAGAACUAAAAUAAUAUAACUUAUAUAUAUUUCAAAUCAGAAAUUAAAACUAAUUAAAGUUUGAAAAUCAAAGUGUCACAUGCCUCAUAGUUUAAAUUAUAACACAUUAAAGUUCGAGAAUUAAAGUGUCACCCGUCUUAUAGUUUUAAGGACAAAAAGUGUAAAUCCAAUCUUUCAAAAUUUUGUUUUUAUUAUCCAACUUUUUUAUAUUUUAGAUUUGAGUUAGUUAAUAAUACUUUAGCUUUAAAAAUUUGAAUGUAUCGCUUAACUCUAAAGAUUUAAUUAGUAUGUUUUAAGCGAUUCUUGCAACUAAAUUUUAUAUAAUAUAAAAUAAACUUAAACUCCAUUAAUAUUUUUUUGAUUUUUUAGUGUACAAUCUAUAUCUAAAUAUUCAAAAUUAUAAAAUUAAAAUUUAUAUUUAAUACAAAUAUUCUAAACUCCCACGCGCACGCGCCUUGCUCGCUCCCCUGCGUGCGCCCGCGCUCGCCCCCGCUCCCUUCGCCGCCACGUGUAU